CGUUUGUGACCUGGGGUUAGGUGAGAGUUGUUUCUGGUACCUACUGGUGGUAGGGAAUUCAAAUUUGAAUUUGAAUUAUAGGUUUUAGGGUUUAUACAUAGGUCUAUGUGUAAUUUGUGGAUUAGUUGGAGAGCAGAUGGGUUUGGUCGCAAAUCGGCAAGUAAAUCGGAUGAAACGAAAUCGUAGUUUCAUUGCCUUCGUCGUGCUGAACGCGAUGGUGCAAUCCGUUCGGAAAUCCGAUGAACGGACUGCCGGAUAUUGCAUGAAGUUCGCUAGGGGGUCGAGAGUGGAAAAUCGGGAAAUUCGCAAAAGUCGUAAUAUUUUAUGUACCGUAUCGCGCGAGAUAGAUUGUAGUGGUGUAAAAGCGCGAUUGUUA
This 376-nucleotide long non-coding RNA is filed under the name Ananas comosus (pineapple). RNAcentral describes it as "long non-coding RNA (ACOM_LNC041698)". The record is from RNAcentral. Lineage: Eukaryota; Viridiplantae; Streptophyta; Magnoliopsida; Poales; Bromeliaceae.